RNAcentral lists this ribosomal RNA (648 nucleotides) under Spilonema maritimum. RNAcentral describes it as "SSU rRNA". It matches the Rfam family "Bacterial small subunit ribosomal RNA", at positions 521 to 1222 of the family's 1533-position model. The record is from RNAcentral. Lineage: Eukaryota; Fungi; Ascomycota; Lecanoromycetes; Peltigerales; Coccocarpiaceae.
UAAUACGUAGGAGGCUAGUGUUAUUCAUCUUUAAUGGGUUUAAAGCGUUCCUAGACAGUUAAUUAAGCCUUUUAUACGGGAAGGUUUUUAGUGUACUAAUUAAACUAGAGUUAUAUGUAAGGAUGAAGCAAAGUACUGCUGGGUGUAGAGAUGAAAUUCAUUGAUACGAGUGGGAAGACGGCACAGGUAAUGGCGAAAGCAUCAUCUUAUGUAAUAACUGACGUUGAAGGACGAAGGCUCUUAGCCACAAAAAGGAUUAGGUACCCAAGUCAGUUUGGAGCAGAAAAUUAUGAAUGUCAUAGAUUAGAUGUAUAUUUGGUCUAUAAAUGAAAGUGUAAGCAUUCCACCUCGAGAGUAAUUUGGCAACAUUGGAAUUGAAAUCAUUAGACCGUUUCUGAUACAAGUAGUGAAGUAUGUUGUUUAAUUUGAUAAUCCUCAAAAAACCUUACCACAAUUUGAAUAUUAAAAUUAUAUUAUUACAAGUGUUGCACGGCUGUUUUAAGUUAAUAUCGUGAGAGUUUGGUACUGCCAACAAUUAACGUAAACCCUAACUUUAUUUUUAUAUAUGGUUGUCCCACCCGCUUAAUAGGGUGGGUAAAUAGGGACUAAGACAAGUCAUCAUGGCCUAAAUAUUGUGGGCUAUAGACG